CGGCCACUCAUCAACACACAGAGUCUUGUCAUCCCCCUCCGGUUGAGCAAACUGCAAAGACAUACUAUCAUACCAAUGUACAAACCUCAUGAGGAAGGAUCCGCACGGAAGACUGAUCCCAGUCCUCAGGCGCAUCCCAGGACUCAGUUUCCUUGAAGGGGUCAAGGGGACGUGGACGUGAAACUUCUCCCUUCACAACCACGGUGGUAGCAAAGGGUCUCACAGUCGGGGGUGACUUGGGAGGAGAGACAGGCGGUGGUGUAACAGGCAGAGGUGACUGUAGCUGCCGAAAGGAGAAGUGCCACAGAAGCUUGGCGAGAAGCGGCAUCCCCAGAUCGUCACUCAG
This is a long non-coding RNA of Gadus morhua (Atlantic cod), 346 nucleotides long. NCBI's taxonomy places the organism in Eukaryota, Metazoa, Chordata, Actinopteri, Gadiformes, Gadidae. The record is from Ensembl.